AGCACAGUUCUAGAUGCAGCCCUUUACACGUGUUUCUGGUAUUUACCUUCUUUCAUCAAACAUUUCUUUAGAAUUGACUCAAGGCAAGAUAUGGUAGAGAAAUGGAAGAAUCAAUUAGAGGAGGUGUUCAACUAGUAGAUGCAUCUUCUCCAGCAAGGCCUUCGAUAUCACUUCCAGUAGUAAUUGACAGCCAAGAAAGCAGGCUAUGCCUCACCUACUCCUUCCUGGGCUAAAGAUCUCAGACUUAGUUGCUCACCCUUAAUUUGGAAAAAAUAAAUUAAAGAAUUCUUCUAUCAUUAAAC
Molecule: long non-coding RNA, 302 nt
Organism: Saimiri boliviensis boliviensis (Bolivian squirrel monkey)
Lineage: Eukaryota; Metazoa; Chordata; Mammalia; Primates; Cebidae
Source: RefSeq, a predicted model, not a curated record